This 304-nucleotide unclassified non-coding RNA is filed under the name plant metagenome. Its description in RNAcentral is "partial contains 5.8S ribosomal RNA, internal transcribed spacer 2, and large subunit ribosomal RNA". The stretch from base 1 to 105 matches the Rfam family "5.8S ribosomal RNA", at positions 50 to 154 of the family's 154-position model. The record is from RNAcentral.
GAAAUGCGAUAAGUAAUGUGAAUUGCAGAAUUCAGUGAAUCAUCGAAUCUUUGAACGCACAUUGCGCCCGCCAGUAUUCUGGCGGGCAUGCCUGUUCGAGCGUCAUUUCAACCAUCAAGCCCCCCGGCUUGUGUUGGGGACCUGCGGCUGCCGCAGGCCCUGAAAAGCAGUGGCGGGCUCGCUGUCACACCGAGCGUAGUAGCAUACAUCUCGCUCUGGGCGUGCUGCGGGUUCCGGCCGUUAAACCACCUUCGUAACCCAAGGUUGACCUCGGAUCAGGUAGGAAGGCCCGCUAAACUUAGGC